CCCUUAGAUGUCCGGGGCCGCACGCGCGCUACACUGAAGGAGUCAGCGUGGCUUUCUCCCUGACCCGAAAGGGUUGGGAAACCCGUUGAAUCUCCUUCGUGAUAGGGAUUGGGGCUUGAAAUUGUUCCCCAUGAACGAGGAAUUCCCAGUAAGCGCGAGUCAUAAGCUCGCGUUGAUUACGUCCCUGCCCUUUGUACACACCGCCCGUCGCUACUACCGAUUGAACGGUUUAGUGAGGGCCUCGGAUUGGUCUCGGCCCACUCUUUACCGGGCGGCGCCGUUGGUCGAGAAGACGCUCGAACUUGAUCGUUUAGAGGAAGUAAAAGUCGUAACA
This 334-nucleotide ribosomal RNA is filed under the name uncultured eukaryote. Its description in RNAcentral is "partial 18S ribosomal RNA". It matches the Rfam family "Eukaryotic small subunit ribosomal RNA", at positions 1470 to 1796 of the family's 1831-position model. The record is from RNAcentral.